Molecule: ribosomal RNA, 246 nt
Filed under: uncultured bacterium
Lineage: Bacteria
Description: partial 16S ribosomal RNA
Rfam family: Bacterial small subunit ribosomal RNA
Source: RNAcentral
UACGUAGGGGGCAAGCGUUGUCCGGAUUUAUUGGGCGUAAAGAGCGUGUAGGCGGCCACACAGGUCAGCUGUAAAAACUCGAGGCUCAACCUCGAGACGUCGGUUGAAACCGUAUGGCUAGAGUCCGGAAGAGGAGAGUGGAAUUCCCGGUGUAGCGGUGAAAUGCGCAGAUAUCGGGAAGAACACCCGUAGCGAAGGCGGCUCUCUGGGACGGUACUGACGCUGAGACGCGAAAAGCGUGGGGAG